UGGGGAAUAUUGCACAAUGGGCGCAAGCCUGAUGCAGCCAUGCCGCGUGUGUGAAGAAGGCCUUCGGGUUGUAAAGCACUUUCAGCGGGGAGGAAGGCGGUGAGGUUAAUAACCUCAUCGAUUGACGUUACCCGCAGAAGAAGCACCGGCUAACUCCGUGCCAGCAGCCGCGGUAAUACGGAGGGUGCAAGCGUUAAUCGGAAUUACUGGGCGUAAAGCGCACGCAGGCGGUCUGUCAAGUCGGAUGUGAAAUCCCCGGGCUCAACCUGGGAACUGCAUUCGAAACUGGCAGGCUAGAGUCUUGUAGAGGGGGGUAGAAUUCCAAGUGUAGCGGUGAAAUGCGUAGAGAUCUGGAGGAAUACCGGUGGCGAAGGCGGCCCCCUGGACAAAGACUGACGCUCAGGUGCGAAAGCGUGGGGAGCAAACAGG
This 429-nucleotide ribosomal RNA is filed under the name Chloroflexota bacterium. RNAcentral's name for it is "Chloroflexi bacterium partial 16S ribosomal RNA". It matches the Rfam family "Bacterial small subunit ribosomal RNA", at positions 355 to 776 of the family's 1533-position model. Lineage: Bacteria; Bacillati; Chloroflexota. The record is from RNAcentral.